AUUUUUUAUAUUUUUUUAAUGUUCAUGUUUUUGAAUGUUUUAUUCAAAUAAUGUAAAAAAUAAAAUAGAUAUUGACAUGGAUUGAACAAAAGAUAUAUAUUAUUUUAUGUUGCAUAAACAAAUUGGCAAAAUAGAGAUGGAAGAUAAAAAUAUGGUCAAAGUAAUAAGAGUCUAUGGUGAAUGCCUAGGAGCUUUAAGGCGAAGAAGGUCGUGGUAAGCUGCGAAAAGCUUGGGGGAGAAGCAAACAUUUAUUGAUCCCAAGAUUACCGAAUGGAGUAAUCCAACUAGCAGAGAUGCGUAG
RNAcentral lists this unclassified non-coding RNA (301 nucleotides) under Borreliella valaisiana. Its description in RNAcentral is "partial contains 5S-23S ribosomal RNA intergenic spacer and 23S ribosomal RNA". The stretch from base 154 to 301 matches the Rfam family "Bacterial large subunit ribosomal RNA", at positions 1 to 147 of the family's 2925-position model. The record is from RNAcentral. Lineage: Bacteria; Pseudomonadati; Spirochaetota; Spirochaetia; Spirochaetales; Borreliaceae.